This 23-nucleotide small nuclear RNA is filed under the name Arabidopsis thaliana (thale cress). Its description in RNAcentral is "snRNA_16724". The record is from RNAcentral. Lineage: Eukaryota; Viridiplantae; Streptophyta; Magnoliopsida; Brassicales; Brassicaceae.
UUGGCGACUGAUAAGUCUAUAUU